Molecule: small nuclear RNA, 107 nt
Organism: Cebus imitator (Panamanian white-faced capuchin)
Lineage: Eukaryota; Metazoa; Chordata; Mammalia; Primates; Cebidae
Source: Ensembl
GUGCUCACUUUGGCAGCAUAUAUUCUAAUAGUGGAAUGAUACAGAGAAAAUUAGCAUGGCCCCUUCACAAGGAUGAUAUGCAAAUUCAUGAAACAUUCCAUAUUUUU